Molecule: long non-coding RNA, 1070 nt
Organism: Acanthopagrus latus (yellowfin seabream)
Lineage: Eukaryota; Metazoa; Chordata; Actinopteri; Spariformes; Sparidae
Exons: 3
Source: RefSeq, a predicted model, not a curated record
GCAUCCUCUUUGUGAACCUGCUAUCACUCUCCCUCCGCUAGUAGCAGAUAGUGUGUUGCAAAUCACAAGUGGCUGGGAUCAGCUCCGGCACACACUGGAGUCAAGCUGUGCUCGGCUGCUUUGUGUUCUGGUUGCCUAGUCUAUUUUUUAUGGAAGCCGCAACAAGCUACACUGAGCAGAUCGGGCUGGCAGGAAGUCAGAGCCACAGGAACGGCAUGGAGCUUGCGUGUUGCAUUCCUCCCUGUGAUGACAUACGACACCUGGAAGUGAAGUCCAGCAGCGAGGUUGCUGCAGUUAGUACCGUUCCUCUAAUCAAUGCAGACUGACAGGGCGUCCAUGCUUUUCCAGCUCCAUCGGAUAAAUGGCAGAUGGCAUUGUGAUGACACCAGGAUUGCCACAGUAACACAAUGGAGAUAUAACCACAGUUGAGAGUGGCACAGCGGAAAUGUCUGGUCACGUCUCUCCAUAUAAAGACCAUAGAUGACAACAUGUGACAUAUGAGGGUCCUGAAGGGUUGUCCCAUUUCAUAGGGGGAGUUUUCCAUUGUAACUCAAGAGUGCACAUGAAAAUGAGGGGUAGGGGAAGAAAUGGAAUGUAUGGGGAAUGAAAUGGAAAUGUAAUCCACCAACUCACAGUUGGGAUGGACUGACCAACAUCUGGAGCUUCAUUUAUCUUAGAUAUUGUAAUUCCAGUUUCACUUAAACAUUGCAAAGUGUUUGAUCCAUAACAUCCAACAUGCACAUGUACACUAAUGUUAAUGUUAAGUUGAAGUGUCAUCUUGUUGAAUCCAAAACUUCUUCUUUAUGCUUCUCCAGAUGAGUACACCAACCUGCACCUUUCAUAGGAGACACAUUGCUGCUCUGGCCGGACCCCACUACUGUAUGUGGGUCUCUGUGUAAUAGUUAUGGCUAGGAGAUACUUUCUUCACAGCUCAGUUAUUGUGUUGUAACAGAUUGGCAUGAUCUUUAAUGCCCCUUGUAUGCUUGAAUGUCAGCAUUUGCCAGGCUAGGUUAGACUCUCAUCUGGCUUUUACUACCCCCUCCUGUUUAUUUUAUGGUGCAGUACCCUCC